GAUGAACGCUGGCGGCGUGCCUAAUACAUGCAAGUCGAGCGAAUGGAUUAAGAGCUUGCUCUUAUGAAGUUAGCGGCGGACGGGUGAGUAACACGUGGGUAACCUGCCCAUAAGACUGGGAUAACUCCGGGAAACCGGGGCUAAUACCGGAUAACAUUUUGAACCGCAUGGUUCGAAAUUGAAAGGCGGCUUCGGCUGUCACUUAUGGAUGGACCCGCGUCGCAUUAGCUAGUUGGUGAGGUAACGGCUCACCAAGGCAACGAUGCGUAGCCGACCUGAGAGGGUGAUCGGCCACACUGGGACUGAGACACGGCCCAGACUCCUAUGGGAGGCAGCAGUAGGGAAUCUUCCGCAAUGGACGAAAGUCUGACGGGGCAACGCCGCGUGAGUGAUGAAGGCUUUCGGGUCGUAAAACUCUGUUGUUAGGGAAGAACAAGUGCUAGUUGAAUAAGCUGACACCUUGACGGUACCUAACCAGAAAGCCACGGCUAACUACGUGCCAGCCGCCGCGGUAA
RNAcentral lists this ribosomal RNA (515 nucleotides) under uncultured bacterium. RNAcentral describes it as "partial 16S ribosomal RNA". It matches the Rfam family "Bacterial small subunit ribosomal RNA", at positions 28 to 523 of the family's 1533-position model. The record is from RNAcentral.